Molecule: long non-coding RNA, 749 nt
Organism: Leptinotarsa decemlineata (Colorado potato beetle)
Lineage: Eukaryota; Metazoa; Arthropoda; Insecta; Coleoptera; Chrysomelidae
Source: RefSeq, a predicted model, not a curated record
AAAUCCUGGAAACAGAGAAAUGGGGAAGUGAAGAAUUGGAGUAAACGUUUCUCAUUGGUCAAUUGAAGUGUAGCGCGCGACAGUCGAAUAAGCUCUGUGAAAGCGGCUGUCCCUUAAUGCUUGGUACCUUUGCUUUAAAUUCGACAUUUGAUUCAACAUGGCGGUUGACGUGGCAGGUUCGCGUGUGUAAUGCAUGGUGUGUUGGUGUUAUUAUCAAAGUAUAAUUCUGUCACGUUCAGUGUACCAUUUAUAAUUUGGGGUUGUCCAAUUUGCAGUACAGCGAAUAGUUUGAUUUUGGAUCUUCAAACAGGAGAGUUGCAUAUAUUCAGUCUUCAAGAAAAGUUCGAGGAGAGUUGGUGUGUGGGAUUUGUUGGUUUGACUAAGUACAUGUUUGAACUAGAGUGAUUUCAGUUGUGUAUCUUCAAUAGAGAAAAGUAUUACUAUUGAAACACUGGCUGAUGCAUUGUUGGACAAAUAUAAGGAAAACUAGUCUGGUGAGCAAAGUUUGGAUAACUUCAAAUAAGUGAAAUUCAUUGAAGAACCCAUCAUACCACUCAUUUUAAAUACUUCAUUUGUGGGUUUAUUUUUUUAAGUGAGAAACCUAACCUAACCUAUUUCUUGAUGUAAUCCAUUUUUUUUUCAAUGAAAUGAUAUAUUUAUUAUUUUUUAAUUAGUGCUGAUGAAUUCACAGAGUUGUUAUUUUAGUAUAUUUUUUAGUAUACAUUUGUUUGAGAGUUGGAACAUCCUAA